This 408-nucleotide ribosomal RNA is filed under the name uncultured bacterium. Its description in RNAcentral is "bacterial SSU rRNA". It matches the Rfam family "Bacterial small subunit ribosomal RNA", at positions 29 to 420 of the family's 1533-position model. The record is from RNAcentral.
AUUGAACGCUGGCGGCAUGCUUUACACAUGCAAGUCGAGCGGCAGCGCGGGGUUCAGGCAACUGAGCCCUGGCGGCGAGCGGCGAACGGGUGAGUAAUACAUCGGAACGUACCCAGGAGUGGGGGAUAGCCCGGCGAAAGCCGGAUUAAUACCGCAUACGAUCUGUGGAUGAAAGUGGGGGACCUAAGGGCAACUGAGGGCCUCACGCUUUUGGAGCGGCCGAUGUCCGAUUAGCUAGUUGGUGGGGUAAAGGCCUACCAAGGCGACGAUCGGUAGCUGGUCUGAGAGGAUGAUCAGCCACACUGGGACUGAGACACGGCCCAGACUCCUACGGGAGGCAGCAGUGGGAAUUUUGGACAAUGGGGCAACCCUGAUCCAGCCAUGCCGCGUGCGGGAAGAAGGCCUCGG